AGCACCAUCUUCUUGCCCCCUUCCCCAACAACAUAAGCCAUUUGAACAGCUUCCCAAAUCUACUCCUUCAGGUCCUUGGGUAAUUGAGUCCAUUUCUUUUCCACAAGAGGGACUCUGGUGCAUGCCAAAACACCAAUGUAACUCUGCAACUCAAUAGCAGCCUUGCCAUGUGGUCUGCCACUUUUAUUGUACUCAACCACAAGCUUAAUCUUCUAGAUUUUCCUUUGCACAACACUGCUCAUUGUGUUGAUACCGGGAGUCGAUUUCGUCACUUCAUCAAAUGUCGUAGAGCUUGGGUCUUUCUCGGAAGAUGAAGUAAAUCUCAUAUUCUUUGCGGGAUUGCUUCGAACAGAUUUGGACUACAAUGUCCUUGCCUUGAAAUUUUGAUACUUGAGCCUCCUUACUUUGAGAUUUCGAAACCAUGUUUAGAAGGAAAUACAAACUGCAAGGAAAACAACGACGAUUAGGUAAAAUACAGACGUAAAAUGAAAGUUCAAACGAUGGCAAAAAAAAAAAAAAACCGUCGUGCUAAUCAUAGAAGCAUGGAUGUGCUAAUACGACGUGGUCAUUAACUUACCACGACGGUAAUUCAAUAAAACCGUCGUCGUAUUAUAAGUUCAUAAAUAAAAUAAAAACCACCCAGUUUUCUCUCUCCACGUUAUCAGACGACGGUUUUCUCUUCA
Molecule: long non-coding RNA, 683 nt
Filed under: Prunus persica (peach)
Lineage: Eukaryota; Viridiplantae; Streptophyta; Magnoliopsida; Rosales; Rosaceae
Description: long non-coding RNA (PPER_LNC006097)
Source: RNAcentral